CCUACGGGAGGCAGCAGUGAGGAAUAUUGGUCAAUGGACGAGAGUCUGAACCAGCCAAGUAGCGUGAAGGAUGACUGCCCUAUGGGUUGUAAACUUCUUUUAUAUGGGAAUAAAACAGGGUAUGCAUACCCUCUUGUAUGUACCAUAUGAAUAAGGAUCGGCUAACUCCGUGCCAGCAGCCGCGGUAAUACGGAGGAUGCGAGCGUUAUCCGGAUUUAUUGGGUUUAAAGGGUGCGCAGGCGGAUUUUUAAGUCAGCGGUCAAAUCGUGGGGCUCAACCCCAUCCAGCCGUUGAAACUGGGGAUCUAGAGUGUGCGAGAGGUAUGCGGAAUGCGUGGUGUAGCGGUGAAAUGCAUAGAUAUCACGCAGAACCCCGAUUGCGAAGGCAGCAUACCGGUGCACAACUGACGCUCAGGCACGAAAGCGUGGGUAUCGAACAGGAUUAGAUACCCCAGUAGUC
RNAcentral lists this ribosomal RNA (459 nucleotides) under uncultured bacterium. Its description in RNAcentral is "partial 16S ribosomal RNA". It matches the Rfam family "Bacterial small subunit ribosomal RNA", at positions 338 to 795 of the family's 1533-position model. The record is from RNAcentral.